UUGGGGGAUGCUAUGGCAG
RNAcentral lists this unclassified non-coding RNA (19 nucleotides) under Chlamydomonas reinhardtii. RNAcentral's name for it is "small RNA Cre_4008". Lineage: Eukaryota; Viridiplantae; Chlorophyta; Chlorophyceae; Chlamydomonadales; Chlamydomonadaceae. The record is from RNAcentral.